AAAGGGAGACCUAAUUCAGGUAAAAGACGAAAAAAUAGUAGUCGAAACCAAGAAUCAAUCCCAAAAGGUCGGAACGAGGUAUGUGGCUUUCAAACUAGGUUCUGGGUUCAUAAAAGACCUGAAUCAGGAACAAGGGCUAUUAGCUCAGGUGGUUAGAGCGCACCCCUGAUAAGGGUGAGGUCCCUGGUUCGAGUCCAGGAUGGCCCACCUGCACAGGUGGUAAAAACAAGAGAAGCGAGGAAUCAGCACCUUAUCUUACUUACAUAGUAAGAGAGAAUGCUGGCUCUGAGUAAAGAGUCCAGAGGAACCUUGAAAACUGCAUAGAGCUAGGUGAAAAAGCCAAAAAAGAAGACCGCAAG
RNAcentral lists this transfer RNA (359 nucleotides) under uncultured Microcystis sp. RNAcentral's name for it is "partial 16S-23S ribosomal RNA intergenic spacer". The stretch from base 134 to 207 matches the Rfam family "tRNA". Lineage: Bacteria; Bacillati; Cyanobacteriota; Cyanophyceae; Chroococcales; Microcystaceae. The record is from RNAcentral.